UUAUCAACUAGAGUCGCUUACUGUGAUGGUUAGCGGUGAUGUAUUUUAUCUUAUUGGCUGCAGGGGUUAUGUUGAUUCAUAAGCAGCUUCUGGGAGGAGAGGAAUUGGAUUUGAUUCACGAACUUGAUGAGCAAAAUAAGAUAGAAACUGCAUUUGGUUUUAGAAGCAAGUCUUGGACAUGUGAAGGCUCUAUAUCGUCGUGGCAUGACACACAUGUCAGCUGGAAAUUUUGAGGAAGCAAGGAGUGAUUUUAAGAAGGAAGUUGAGAUGAAGGCUAAAAAAGCAAUUUAAAGGACUGUUGGAAAAGAAGCCUGGGGAAAUUGCUGAUGCUGGAACUGUUUUAGGCAAAGAUAAGAAAGCUGAAAAUGAUGAAAACCUUGAACGUGGCAACGAUGCUGCACAAGAUUAAGAAAAGGAAGUCAAAGAAGAGGAAGGAAGAAAAAGAAGCUCCACCCUCAAAGGGGUUUGUUUAACAGGAUUUGGCCUGUUGGUAGUAGAGUAUUCUUUGCACUUGGUUUAUAAAGAUGUUCCAUCAUAAUGAAUUUACUGCUGUUAUGGAAUUCCGUGAACCGAUCCAGUCAUACUCACUACCUUGAAUUGUUGAUCCCCGAUUUACACCUGUAGACCUAACAAUGCUUAAAUUAUUUUUGAAUUAGGGGCUUAGUUAAUUAUAGGGAAAACAUUUGAUAAAAGCUUUGAACUACCAUUUCUCCCCCAAGGUUCCGACAGCGACUAACUUAAGUCUCAAUAAGAACAAGACCUGGAUGGUGUUGGUGCUGUUGUUUUGAUCCGUGAAGCAACAGGGUGUAAGUUGCUUCUAGAGGAGUAAGGCUGUAUAGUGGAUUUGUGGUGUUGGAUGGUUGACGCGGGUUUGGUGCUAGGAAGAAGUAGCUUGGUUAGAAGCUGUAGGAACUGAAUUGUAAAGGUGCAGUGCUGUAUUAGAGAAUGUGAAACGGAGACUGGUAAUAGUUGCAGUGAGGUUGUUUCUGCAGUUGAAGAUGUGUUAUGUUGCUAAUGAAUAUGAGCUGCAGUGAUGGUUAAAAUGGUUGAGCAGAAUGUAUGAAUGAAGCUGGAAUGAAAUAUUAUUUUUAUUCGUUCUUAAUGUGCUACUGGACUGAAGCUUUCAAAGCAUUUCAAGUGUCCGUAUCUACCAUAACAAAUUGCUACCAUAAACGAACAUGGAUUCCUCGGUAGUCGAAGUAAAAAAGUGCAUGGAUGCUCUUCUAUGCAGUCAUUAUGUAUGAAGGGACUACAGUUAGUAUCAUCCUAUAAAUCAAAAGCUUGCGUGGAGAAGAUUAUAUUAGCAACCGCUAAGGCCUAAGUGUCAUGCACAGUUUGUCAUACCAAACAAUUUUUUCUCAAUGCAAAAGUUUAUUUCUCAAAGCAAGGUAAUAGUUUGUUGAGAACUCAUGUCAUGGCAUAUAUGGAUAUGGUCCCAUGAUCAAGUGUGCUUAAGUUAGAUAUGAUACUGUUAUUGUCAUUGUAAACCAAGGCAGAAUUACAAAACCAAAAGGCAUAAGCAUAAGAAAUUCUAAGCGUGC
Long non-coding RNA from Papaver somniferum (opium poppy), 1541 nucleotides. RefSeq lists it as uncharacterized. The transcript has 3 exons. The record is from RefSeq and is a predicted model, not a curated record. Lineage: Eukaryota; Viridiplantae; Streptophyta; Magnoliopsida; Ranunculales; Papaveraceae.